GUUGACCUGCCGGACUGCCUGCUAUCUGAUUGGUACUAAGCCAUGCGAGUCGUUGUACAAUACAAGGCGGACUGCUCAGUAACACGUAGUUGAAGUUAACCUAUGGAUGGGCAUAACCUCGGGAAACUGAGAAUAAUACCCAAUGGACCACAGUGCCUGGAAUGGCCUGUGGUUGAAAUGAUUUAUCGCCGUAGGAUAGGACUGCGGCCUAUCAGCUUGUUGGUGAGGUAAUGGCCCACCAAGGCUAUAACAGGUACGGGCUCUGAGAGGAGGGGCCCGGAGAUGGGUGCUGAGACACGGACCCAGGCCCUAUGGGGCGUAGCAGGCGAGAAACCUUUGCAAUGUGCGAAAGCACGACAAGGUUAAUCCGAGUGUCUCCUGCUAAAGGAGUCUUUUGUCAGUUGUAGAAUCACUGGUGAAUAAGGGGUGGGCAAGUUCUGGUGUCAGCCGCCGCGGUAAAACCAGCACCUCGAGUGGUCAGGAGGUUUAUUGGGCCUAAAGCAUCCGUAGCCGGUUGCAUAAGUUUUCGGUUAAAUCUAUGCGCUUAACGUAUAGGCCGCCGAAAAUACUGUGCAGCUAGGGAGUGGGAGAGGUACCCGGUACUCGAUAGGAA
RNAcentral lists this ribosomal RNA (613 nucleotides) under uncultured archaeon. Its description in RNAcentral is "bacterial SSU rRNA". It matches the Rfam family "Archaeal small subunit ribosomal RNA", at positions 7 to 628 of the family's 1478-position model. The record is from RNAcentral.